Molecule: ribosomal RNA, 486 nt
Filed under: uncultured bacterium
Lineage: Bacteria
Description: partial 16S ribosomal RNA
Rfam family: Bacterial small subunit ribosomal RNA
Source: RNAcentral
AUUGAACGCUGGCGGCAUGCCUUACACAUGCAAGUCGAACGGCAGCACGGGUGCUUGCCCCUGGUGGCGAGUGGCGAACGGGUGAGUAAUACAUCGGAACAUGUCCUGUAGUGGGGGAUAGCCCGGCGAAAGCCGGAUUAAUACCGCAUACGAUCCACGGAUGAAAGCGGGGGACCUUCGGGCCUCGCGCUAUAGGGUUGGCCGAUGGCUGAUUAGCUAGUUGGUGGGGUAAAGGCCUACCAAGGCGACGAUCAGUAGCUGGUCUGAGAGGACGACCAGCCACACUGGAACUGAGACACGGCCCAGACUCCUACGGGAGGCAGCAGUGGGGAAUUUUGGACAAUGGGCGAAAGCCUGAUCCAGCAAUGCCGCGUGUGUGAAGAAGGCCUUCGGGUUGUAAAGCACUUUUGUCCGGAAAGAAAUCCUUGACUCUAAUACAGUCGGGGGAUGACGGUACCGGAAGAAUAAGCACCGGCUAACUACGUG